UAGGGAAUCUUCCGCAAUGGACGAAAGUCUGACGGAGCAACGCCGCGUGAGUGAAGAAGGAUUUCGGUUCGUAAAACUCUGUUGUUAGGGAAGAAAAAAUGUAUAGUAACUAUAUACAAAAGAGACGGCACCUAACCAGAAAGCCACGGCUAACUACGUGCCAGCAGCCGCGGUAAUACGUAGGUGGCAAGCGUUGUCCGGAUUUACUGGGUGUAAAGGGCGUGCAGGCGGGCUGAUAAGUCAGAUGUGAAAUCCCCGAGCUUAACUCGGGAACUGCAUCUGAUACUGUUGGUCUUGAGGGCGGGAGAGGAUAGUGGAAUUCCUAGUGUAGCGGUAAAAUGCGCAGAUAUUAGGAGGAACACCAGUGGCGAAGGCGGCUAUCUGGACAGUAACUGACGCUGAGGUGCGAAAGCGUGGGUAGCAAACAGG
RNAcentral lists this ribosomal RNA (429 nucleotides) under Verrucomicrobiota bacterium. RNAcentral describes it as "Verrucomicrobia bacterium partial 16S ribosomal RNA". It matches the Rfam family "Bacterial small subunit ribosomal RNA", at positions 355 to 776 of the family's 1533-position model. Lineage: Bacteria; Pseudomonadati; Verrucomicrobiota. The record is from RNAcentral.